AUUUAAAUAGCUUAAAAAGAGUAUAAUAUUGAAGAUAUUGAGGUGAUUAAUAAAUCUUUAGAUA
Molecule: transfer RNA, 64 nt
Filed under: Apatura laverna
Lineage: Eukaryota; Metazoa; Arthropoda; Insecta; Lepidoptera; Nymphalidae
Description: tRNA-Phe
Source: RNAcentral